AUUUAGCUGAUGAUUCCCAAAUAGGAGGAAACACGUAUCCUGGAU
Schistosoma mansoni is the source of this 45-nucleotide non-coding RNA. The record is from Rfam. NCBI's taxonomy places the organism in Eukaryota, Metazoa, Platyhelminthes, Trematoda, Strigeidida, Schistosomatidae.